CCACAGACAAGUCACUGGGAGUCUGAAGGUAAUCUUGGCUCUGCCUGAGCUGGCCCUUAAAUGAAGGGACUCCAGUCCAAGGUUUUGAUCACAGCUCCCUGGCAGCUGUUGCCUUUCCCAAGCCGAAGAGCAAGAGAGAGGAUCAUCUGUUUUCUCCCCAAGGAAGUGCCAAGUCCCUUUCUGAGAGCUGCAGAGUUAAAAUGUUCAGAGCACUGGCUGAGGACCCUGAGGACCUGGGUUUACAACCAGUCUUAGCCGCUUACUGAAGCUUACCCCAAAGAUACAGAUGUCGUGAA
Long non-coding RNA from Neogale vison (American mink), 296 nucleotides. RefSeq lists it as uncharacterized. The transcript is spliced from 4 exons. The record is from RefSeq and is a predicted model, not a curated record. NCBI's taxonomy places the organism in Eukaryota, Metazoa, Chordata, Mammalia, Carnivora, Mustelidae.